Molecule: unclassified non-coding RNA, 1652 nt
Filed under: Hevea brasiliensis (rubber tree)
Lineage: Eukaryota; Viridiplantae; Streptophyta; Magnoliopsida; Malpighiales; Euphorbiaceae
Source: RNAcentral
GCAGCUGCUAACUCCCAAAAAAGCCUUUUGUCACAUGACAAUAGAAAUUACUAUAAGAAAAUUAAAAAAGAGAACAGACUUGGAGGCUAUUAUAAACCCUCAAACUCUCAAGUCUACAUGAAAAAUGCCAGUGUUGUAUGCUGCUAUAAUGCUAACUAUAACACUUGUAUUCUCAGUUAAACAAGAAGAAGCUAAACCCCCGAUAAAUACAACCAUAUCUGUUUUUCAAACAGUAUUUGGUCUGAGAGAUUAUAAUGAAGAAACAUAAACAAAUCUCACAUGCUAACUUCUACCUCAGGAUCAGUUUCGACAGGCAUAGGAGGUGAACUAUUGCCGCCUCUCAAACGUGAAGAUACAUUGUCGAUAGCAGAAUUCAGUUGGCUGAUCUUUGCAUUCAAGGUCUGCCUGGUCAUCUCUAAACCUUCGUCAUAAUAUAUUGGUCGCUUGGCCCGCCGGAACCCAUAUUCAUCUUCAUUCAGCAGGGAUCUUCUUAUCUGAAGCAGUAGAAAAAAUAGAUAAAUAAAACCAGCAAUUGUAACAUAAACCAUCUUCAAAAGGACUAAUUUCGAAGUUAGGAAGCAACAAAAAAAAAAUCCCCAUUGACUUCAUCGAACAAAUAUAGUAGAUGGACAGGGGGAUCCGCCUUUUUUUUUUUUAAUGCACCGAAGAAGCUUCAGCAACGAUUAGGCAUUAAGAUGAGACUUGUAGACAUCUGGCAAUCAAGUGAAAAUACAGCUAUAAAUGCAGAAUAUAUAUAUAAGGAAAUAUUACCAUAAAAAUAAUACAGCCAAUUAACUGUUUAAUCAUGUUCUAAUAUCAUCAUCAUUUUAUUGGCUAACACAAAGGGAAGGGUGAGUGCCCAUAUCAUAGAAUGGACAACAGAGAAUUGGGCAACAACGUGCUAUCAAACACCAUUUCAACAUCAAUAGUUUUAAAUGUUGCAAGCAUAGCUUAUAGAUGGAAUAACAGGGAUGUAGGGCUAUUACAUUGUAAUAGCCUUCAUAAGCUUUACACUUCCUGUUAUAAAAGAAGGAAAAAAAGAAAAAAGCAAUCAUCCAAUUCAUUAAUUACCACAUGUUAUGGAUGCACAAUACACAAUUUUUGAGAAGCAUGGACUGUAGUCCACGUGCAAGAUUCAGAAACGCAAGAUUCAGAAACGCAAGACUCAACCUGACGUCAUGUGCCAUCAACAAUUGUUAUGCAAUUGUGCAGCAAUUAGUCUUUUUGUGUUUUCCCUUCUACGUAAUGCAUUUAAAUGAAGGAAAUGUUUGCCUUAUCCAUCACUUGAAUUGCCAUCUUUUUAGAUCCUUUGAUGGAAAAUUUUAAUGCCAAAAAGUAUAAAAUGCUAAAACAAAUACAUCUAAUCACCUGAGGAGCAAAAAUAUAAGCUAAAGUUCCAAAUAUGGCGCCUCCUAAAAGAAAUCCUGCAACAAAAUCGCUGCCACUGCCCCUACUACCAUCACUGCAUAUAACAGAAGAAAUGAUAAAACAAAUCUCAAAAACUAGGGUAAGCAGGGUACACUCAGAUGGUAUAACAUUAGAUUGUAUAAAUAUCAAAAUAAUAAAAGUCAGAUGAACCAUACAAAAACUAAGCUAGAUUAACCAUAUGCAAACCAUAAGAAAGAGUAAUUUAAAAAGAAAAAGAGUACAUU